CUUUUUUAAAUUUAAAAAAAAAAAAAAGAGAGAAUGAAAAGUGCCUGCCAAAAUAGUAAGUUCGAAAGGAAAUCCAAGUUAGGGUUCUGAGAAAAGAAAAUGAAAGCUUCAUUGAAAUUUCGGGAAGAGAAGCAGCCAGUGUUGAGGGCCAAAAUACCUCUAAGCAUUUUGGGCUUGCCAUUUCAAUCAGGCAUCGUCGCCGGCGAACCCAAGGAGCUCACUUUAAAUCUUUCUACGUUCUUUGAAUCUGGGCCGUCCAUCAAGAUCGCUUACCGUCCUACUGACACGUGGAACCCUUUCUCACUUAUCGUCAAGACUGGCACCGGCCCCUUCGGUUCUCCCAUCUCCACCUCUUUGCUUAUGAGUGCUGAGUUCAACCUUCUUGGCCGUGGAAACCCUAGCUUUAUGCUUCACCUCAAGCCUCAGUUCGGGAUUUCUCCAUCAAGAAGUCCCAGUCUUCCGUUUUCGAUAAAGUCGUGAAGAUGACGAAUGACGCCGUUGCGGAUGUCGAUUCGUCGGCUAGUGUCGAUUUCGCGGGUUUCUUCGCCGAGAAGGGGAAACUUGGGACUUUGAACUCGGGAGAUAUUGCGAGGAUUCUGUCCGGAAUGGAGGUAGCGGCGAGGACGGCUGUGCCAGUGAAGGGAAAGGCAAUGUUGAAAUUCCGAUGGGGAAUGAGGAUUCCAUCGGAGAUGAAGAGUGGCGUCGGCGGGGCUGGGAUUCCGUUUUUGGUGAUGGAUAAGAUCGGGAUCGAGCAGGUGGAAGGUGCUGAUUCGAUGCAGGCUUUAACCACAGCCAGCAAGGCGAGUCCAGGGGUAAGAACGAAUGUGGACAUUGCAGAGUCAAUUUUUAUGGUAAAGCGGCAGUUGGAAGCUCUGCAUUCUGAGAAUGCGUUACUGAAGAGAGCCGUGGAUGAUCUGAGACGAGAAAUCUCCAGCGGAAAUUUUGGGGAUUUGAAUUCUGUGAAAUACAGAGAAAUUGAAAGAAAUGGGAAAACGGAGAGAAGGAUGAGUGAGAAGAAUUCCAUGGAAGAGGAGCUGAAGAAGGCAUUGAAAGGAGCUUGAAGUUGUCGCAGAAAUUAAAAUGUAAGGAUUUGGUUUGGUUUCUAUGCCUUUUAUGUUUGGAUUAGUAAUUACUCCAAGUAGAAUUAAAAAGAAAGAAGAUUUUGAUUGUGAGUUUUGGAUAUUUGAACUAAGAUGAAACAAUCAAAUAGGCUGUGUUGAAUAAGCCUUGCAGGAAGCUCUAACAUGAUGUAUGUGAAAAAGGCAUAAGAUAUGGGGCCAAUGGGCAGUAUUGAUGAAAGAAAUAUAGGAGUUGUAAAGAUCUCCUGGUAGAUUGAAUAAACAUAUCUCAAUCUUCCAUUUCUGCUCACCAA
RNA transcript from Gossypium raimondii (Peruvian cotton), 1372 nucleotides. RefSeq lists it as uncharacterized. NCBI's taxonomy places the organism in Eukaryota, Viridiplantae, Streptophyta, Magnoliopsida, Malvales, Malvaceae. The transcript has a single exon. The record is from RefSeq and is a predicted model, not a curated record.